GAUGAAGAACGUAGCGAAAUGCGAUAAGUAAUGUGAAUUGCAGAAUUCAGUGAAUCAUCGAAUCUUUGAACGCACAUUGCGCCCGUCAGUAUUCUGGCGGGCAUGCCUGUUCGAGCGUCAUUACGCCCCUCAAGUCCCCUGUGGACUUGGUGUUGGGGAUCGGCGAGGCUGGUUUUCCAGCACAGCCGUCCCUUAAAUUAAUUGGCGGUCUCGCCGUGGCCCUCCUCUGCGCAGUAGUAAAACACUCGCAACAGGAGCCCGGCGCGGUCCACUGCCGUAAAACCCCCCAACUUUUUAUAGUUGACCUCGAAUCAGGUAGGACUACCCGCUGAACUUAAGCAUAUCAAUAAGGGAGGA
This 357-nucleotide unclassified non-coding RNA is filed under the name soil metagenome. Its description in RNAcentral is "partial contains 5.8S ribosomal RNA, internal transcribed spacer 2, and large subunit ribosomal RNA". The stretch from base 1 to 120 matches the Rfam family "5.8S ribosomal RNA", at positions 35 to 154 of the family's 154-position model. The record is from RNAcentral.